CCUACGGGAGGCAGCAGUAGGGAAUCUUCCGCAAUGGACGAAAGUCUGACGGAGCAACGCCGCGUGAGCGAUGAAGGCCUUCGGGUCGUAAAACUCUGUUGUUAGGGAAGAACAAGUAUCGGAGUAACUGCCGGUACCUUGACGGUACCUAACCAGAAAGCCACGGCUAACUACGUGCCAGCAGCCGCGGUAAU
RNAcentral lists this ribosomal RNA (194 nucleotides) under uncultured bacterium. RNAcentral's name for it is "partial 16S ribosomal RNA". It matches the Rfam family "Bacterial small subunit ribosomal RNA", at positions 338 to 524 of the family's 1533-position model. The record is from RNAcentral.